CUUCAAAAUCCCUCCCCUCACGAACGACGAACAACCCACGACAAAAACCCCAACCUUAACCCCAUUCUUCUCAUCUCCACGUCCUUUCUUCUCGACGACAGAGACCCACGGCAAGGAGACCCAUAGCAAUAGAGACUCAUAUCGUUGCUGAAUCAGGAAAUCAAGGCCAAGGGAGAUUUCAUGGCUAUGGGAGGAUGCGAGAAUGAAAAGUUAACGCCAAGAUUCUCAAGCAGUAACAAAAUUGUGCAGUGACAUUAAUGGCGAACAAAGAAACAGACAAAGAAACAUGAUGAGAAGCUUCUUAGGCUUUUCUCUUUUCCAAUCAGUAAGAGAGUUGAUGGAAUUGGGGACAAUCAAGAAGAGGAGUUUGUAGUUCCAGGAGUUGAUGAGGUUGUUGUAGAUAUCCUAAAAUCAGAUUAUGAGGAUGCCUACUUUGUUACUGGUGUGCUGUCUGGAAAGGCAACAAACUUGUAACGCCCCAACAGAUUGGAGUUUUAUUUGUUCAUCUCAAGAGUAAUCUUGUAAAUUCAAAAUUGUUAUGGAAUGGG
Cucumis melo (muskmelon) is the source of this 548-nucleotide long non-coding RNA. RefSeq lists it as uncharacterized. NCBI's taxonomy places the organism in Eukaryota, Viridiplantae, Streptophyta, Magnoliopsida, Cucurbitales, Cucurbitaceae. The record is from RefSeq and is a predicted model, not a curated record. The transcript has 6 exons.